CCUACGGGAGGCAGCAGUGAGGAAUAUUGGACAAUGGAAGGAAUUCUGAUCCAGCCAUGCCGCGUGCAGGAAGACUGCCCUAUGGGUUGUAAACUGCUUUUAUACAGGAAGAAAAAAGUGUACGUGUACACUAUUGACGGUACUGUACGAAUAAGGAUCGGCUAACUCCGUGCCAGCAGCCGCGGUAAUACGGAGGAUCCAAGCGUUAUCCGGAAUCAUUGGGUUUAAAGGGUCCGUAGGCGGGAGAUUAAGUCAGUGGUGAAAGUUUGUGGCUCAACCAUAAAAUUGCCAUUGAUACUGGUUUUCUUGAGUUAUUGUGAAGUGGUUAGAAUGAGUAGUGUAGCGGUGAAAUGCAUAGAUAUUACUCAGAAUACCGAUUGCGAAGGCAGAUCACUAACAAUGAACUGACGCUGAUGGACGAAAGCGUASGUAGCGAACAGGMUUAGAUAGCCCUGSUAGUCUAUCGCCGUMAAUCGAUGGUUACUAGCUGUUCGGGCAAAUUGAUSUCUGAGUGGCUAAGCGAAAGUG
Molecule: ribosomal RNA, 528 nt
Filed under: uncultured Bacteroidota bacterium
Lineage: Bacteria; Pseudomonadati; Bacteroidota
Description: bacterial SSU rRNA
Rfam family: Bacterial small subunit ribosomal RNA
Source: RNAcentral